RNAcentral lists this long non-coding RNA (606 nucleotides) under Vitis vinifera (wine grape). RNAcentral describes it as "long non-coding RNA (VVIN_LNC001799)". Lineage: Eukaryota; Viridiplantae; Streptophyta; Magnoliopsida; Vitales; Vitaceae. The record is from RNAcentral.
UUCAUAUUCUUGUUGCAUUGGGUGAAUUGUUGCUACUCUAUUAAAUUGAUUCCUAUUAGGUUCUCACAAGAGGGGAUAAAAUCUGGUUGUGCAUUGUUUGCGUUUAUCCCAUCAAAGUGGUAUCAGAGCAUUGGUUCAAGAUAAUUUGUGCCUUGUGUAGAACAAUGGAAAGCAAUACAAGUAGAAUGAUCACUCUGAAUGGUUCCAAUUAUCAUGUUUGGAAAGGAAAAAUGGAAGACUUAUUGUAUGUGAAGGAUUAUUAUUUGCCUGUGUUUGCUUCUGAAAGGCCAGAAAAUAAAACUGAUGCAGAAUGGAAUUUACUUCAUCGACAGGUUUGCGGUUAUAUCAGACAGUGGGUAGAUGAUAAUGUUCUCAAUCAUGUUAGUGAAGAGAAACAUGCAAGGAGUCUAUGGAAUAAGCUCGAACAGUUAUAUGCUCGAAAGACUGACAAUAAUAAAUUGUUUCUAAUCAAGAAGAUGAUGAGUUUGAAGUAUCAAGAUGGAACUCCUAUGACAGAUCAUUUGAAUACAUUCCAAGGUAUUAUUAAUCAGUUGGUUGGAAUGAAUAUCAAGUUUGAGGAAGAGGUGCAAGGGUUGUGGCUUCUUG